Transfer RNA from Camelus ferus (Wild Bactrian camel), 59 nucleotides. It matches the Rfam family "tRNA". Rfam says of the family: Transfer RNA (tRNA) molecules are approximately 80 nucleotides in length. Their secondary structure includes four short double-helical elements and three loops (D, anti-codon, and T loops). Lineage: Eukaryota; Metazoa; Chordata; Mammalia; Artiodactyla; Camelidae. The record is from Rfam.
GAGGGUAUAGCUCAUGCUUAGGAUGCAUGAGGUCCUGGGUUCAAUCCCCAGUACCUCCU